AGGUUUUAGAAGCAGAGUCAGGCGAAGCUGGGCCAGAACCGCGACCUCCGCAACCUUGAGCGGCAUCCGUGGAGUGCGCCUGCGCAGCUACGACCGCAGCAGGAAAGCGCCGCCGGCCAGGCCCAGCUGUGGCCGGACAGGGACUGGAAGAGAGGACGCGGUCGAGUAGGUGUGCACCAGCCCUGGCAACGAGAGCGUCUACCCCGAACUCUGCUGGCCUUGAGGUGGGGAAGCCGGGGAGGGCAGUUGAGGACCCCGCGGAGGCGCGUGACUGGUUGAGCGGGCAGGCCAGCCUCCGAGCCGGGUGGACACAGCUGGGGUGAAGAAUGGGGCAUGGGUGGCUACGUAAAGAUGGCCAAAGACCGGAGAAACCAUUGUGGAAUUGCCUCAGCAGCCAGCUACCCCACUGUGUGAGCUGGUGGACGGUGAUGAGGAAGGACUUGACUGGGGAUGGCGCAUGCAUGGGAGGAAUUCAUCUUCAGUCUACCAGCCCCCGCUGUGUCGGAUACACACUCGAAUCAUUGAAGAUCCGAGUGUGAUUUGAAUUCUGUGAUAUUUUCACACUGGUAAAUGUUACCUCUAUUUUAAUUACUGCUAUAAAUAGGUUUAUAUUAUUGAUUCACUUACUGACUUUGCAUUUUCGUUUUUAAAAGGAUGUAUAAAUUUUUACCUGUUUAAAUAAAAUUUAAUUUCAAAUGUAGUGGUGGGGCUUCUUUCUAUUUUUGAUGCACUGAAUUUUUGUGUAAUAAAGAACAUAAUUGGGCUCUAAGCCAU
RNAcentral lists this long non-coding RNA (774 nucleotides) under Homo sapiens (human). RNAcentral describes it as "long non-coding RNA NONHSAT132867.2". The record is from RNAcentral. Lineage: Eukaryota; Metazoa; Chordata; Mammalia; Primates; Hominidae.